Molecule: long non-coding RNA, 422 nt
Organism: Mauremys mutica (yellowpond turtle)
Lineage: Eukaryota; Metazoa; Chordata; Testudines; Geoemydidae
Exons: 3
Source: RefSeq, a predicted model, not a curated record
AAUACACAACAGUUUCCUCUCCUCAACAAGCCACCUGGUACAAAAGUGGAACCUAGUUGCAUGUCCCUUUCCAACUUUAUAAUUGGUUGACUUUGUCUUAUGGUUUCAAUUUCAUCUCCACAAAGCAACAGACCAGAGAAAAAUCUCUUUACCAAGGUGUACAAGAAGAAAAGUGGAUUAUGAUGUUAUAGUCAGACAAAGUAAAUGAAUGAAGGAUGGAUGGAGCACUAUCUUUAGAUUAUAGCCAUUAGAAAUGUUAUGGAAGAACAAGCAGCAAUCUUCCUAGAUAAAAAUGAUCCUGCAAACAACAUUGUCUGUCAGAUCCUAGAUUUGUUAACCUUCUGGACAUUCUGAAAGGGCCAUUCCCACCCCCGCGCCCCCAGCCCAAGAGUUCAGAGAGGGAGAUGUGCUGUGGGAAGAGG